RNAcentral lists this ribosomal RNA (300 nucleotides) under uncultured Methanosarcina sp. RNAcentral's name for it is "bacterial SSU rRNA". It matches the Rfam family "Archaeal small subunit ribosomal RNA", at positions 140 to 439 of the family's 1478-position model. The record is from RNAcentral. Lineage: Archaea; Methanobacteriati; Methanobacteriota; Methanomicrobia; Methanosarcinales; Methanosarcinaceae.
CUGGGGAUAAUUCGGGAUAACGCAUAUGUGCUGGAAUGCUUUAUGCGUAAAAAGGAUUCGUCCGCCCAAGGAUGGGUCUGCGGCCUAUCAGGUAGUAGUGGGUGUAAUGUACCUACUAGCCGACAACGGGUACGGGUUGUGAGAGCAAAAGCCCGGAGAUGGAUUCUGAGACAUGAAUCCAGGCCCUACGGGGCGCAGCAGGCGCGAAAACUUUACAAUGCGGGAAACCGUGAUAAGGGGACACCGAGUGUCAGCAUCAUAUGCUGGCUGUCCAGGUGUGUAAAAUACACCUGUUAGCAA